CUUUAUUAUAACAAUAUUAAUAUAGCAUAGAAUUAUGAGAAAGUAACUUUUUUUCUGUUUAGAAAGCUUAUGUCCAGUGACUUUAUUUUUCCUGACACAUCCAUAUAUGCAGAGAUAAGGGACAUAGUGACUGAAAGGACAAUCCUACUAUGAUUGAAGCUGUUUAGAGGAUUAUUUGUAUCUGGUAUUGUAUUUGUUACUUAAAUAUAUAAAGUAUUGUUUUUAAAAUAUAAAAAUGCAUAGCUACUAGCCUGUAUUUCGUUGCUGAAUUUUGCACAAGAUUUGUGGAUGUUGCAUGAGAUUACUGAAAUCUCUUAUUUCUUGCAAGGUUCAAGCUCUGUCAUGAAUGUAGUCUUCACCACCACCACCAAGACCAGCUGGCAGACCGAAGUAGUUUCCCAUGUGCUCAUGAAAGAAUGGGAGUCCGCCAUGGUUGACUGGCUCUACAGGAUCAGCUUCACACUGGGCAUCUGCAUUUUAUGGGCACCCUGGACAUGCAAGUAG
RNAcentral lists this long non-coding RNA (504 nucleotides) under Felis catus (domestic cat). RNAcentral describes it as "lncRNA (ENSFCAG00000053139.1)". The record is from RNAcentral. Lineage: Eukaryota; Metazoa; Chordata; Mammalia; Carnivora; Felidae.